This 406-nucleotide ribosomal RNA is filed under the name uncultured bacterium. RNAcentral describes it as "partial 16S ribosomal RNA". It matches the Rfam family "Bacterial small subunit ribosomal RNA", at positions 30 to 526 of the family's 1533-position model. The record is from RNAcentral.
AUUGAACGCUGGCGGCAGGCCUAACACAUGCAAGUCGAACGAGUGGCGGACGGGUGAGUAAUGUCUGGGAAACUGCCCGAUGGAGGGGGAUAACUACUGGAAACGGUGGCUAAUACCGCAUACCAUCGGAUGUGCCCAGAUGGGAUUAGCUAGUAGGUGGGGUAAAGGCUCACCUAGGCGACGAUCUCUAGCUGGUCUGAGAGGAUGACCAGCCACACUGGAACUGAGACACGGUCCAGACUCCUACGGGAGGCAGCAGUGGGGAAUAUUGCACAAUGGGCGCAAGCCUGAUGCAGCCAUGCCGCGUGUAUGAAGUAGGCCUUCGGGUUGUAAAGUACUUUCAGCGAGGAGGCGUUACUCGCAGAAGAAGCACCGGCUAACUCCGUGCCAGCAGCCGCGGUAAUUC